AAAGUUCAGGGGGAUAUACCAUGAUCACGAAGGUGAUUUUCCCAGGGCUAGACUUAUCCAUUGCACUCCGGAUGUGCUGACCCCUGAGAUUUCCCCAAAUGCAGGAAACUCAACUGCAUAAUUUGUGGUAGUGGGGGAAUGUGUUCACACACUCCCCUG
Molecule: small nuclear RNA, 159 nt
Organism: Mastomys coucha (southern multimammate mouse)
Lineage: Eukaryota; Metazoa; Chordata; Mammalia; Rodentia; Muridae
Product: U1 spliceosomal RNA
Exons: 1
Source: RefSeq, a predicted model, not a curated record